Dipodomys ordii (Ord's kangaroo rat) is the source of this 964-nucleotide long non-coding RNA. RefSeq lists it as uncharacterized. NCBI's taxonomy places the organism in Eukaryota, Metazoa, Chordata, Mammalia, Rodentia, Heteromyidae. The record is from RefSeq and is a predicted model, not a curated record. The transcript has 2 exons.
UACAAGGCAAGCGCUCCACCACUGAGCCACCUUCCCAGCCCCUGUUCUUCCUCUUUGCUAUCAAGUUUUGUGUAGGUCAAGAUUCUUGAUUGGAGGUAGAGGGAUCUUCUUUAAGAAGGCUUUUCUGUUUCUUUAAGCAGAAAAUAGAUUGAAUAAAGAAUAUUGAGAGCUCAAAGAAUCUUUGCUAGAUUUUGUUUUAGAAUUCUUCUGAAGAAACCAAUGUAGGCUGACCUUCCAGGAACUCCUUUACAAGAGUUGGCUGCCAGAAGAACUGCUUUUGCAGCAAUCAACAAUGAAGCUGCUGGCUGGAUGAGGAAGUGCUAAACAACAGCCAGCUCCAGAAACACACCACCUCUGCUGUGCUCUGCCAGCAAAAAUGACACCUCAUUUUCUGCCUACAUCCCUAUCUAACUAUGCUGAGCAAAAGUCUCAGCUUCCCUGAGCAAUCAAGAGUAAACUCACAGAGACCCAGUUACAUGAUGAGCUUCAUAGUGUUUAUUGAAGAUUUUUAUCCCUGAAGAACCUAAUAGAAAAGGCCUCCUUUGACCUCAACUGAAUACUUUUUUCACCUCAUCACUGCUUGUUGAAAUUACAGACUGAGGCAUAUUUAAGUAAAAUGCAAAGUUUGCUGUCUUUGUUCUUUGUAAGUGAUAUUGUAAGAAGACCAUCACAACUAUCUGUUUUGAGGGUGUAAUGUUUGAGGGAAGUUGUAUCUUCCCUUUGCUUUUAUUAAAAUAUAUAUUAGCAGGAUUCAAAUCUUUCCCUACCCUACUUUUAAGCUUGUUUCCUAAAUGAGUAGUUAUCUAUGGAUCCGAAACCAUGUCUUAGAAAAUCUAAGAACUGAGCCAGAACAAACAGUAGCAGCAAGAACUGAAAACCUCAGACAGUAUUGUAAAAUCUGGAUCUAGAAUUUCCAGCACUGCCAGCUGCUUAUCAAGACAGCAAAAUAAAACCAGUGACAUGA